UUCGGUAGUCGUUGCCACUGAUAAUCGAAAGGAGGUUGUCCAACAACGAUGUUACAUACAUUGCUACCAUUAGGCGGCUAACAAACAUGUUAGAGCAAGUCCAAUGCGUCUCUCAUAAUUGUAAGGUAGAAGAAAUAUCCCCUAAACUCUGACAAAUAACAAAAAAAUUGAGACUCUCUCUCCUCGUGAACGUCUUCGCGCGUACACCUACACAGAGAAGAGAAUACAAGCGCGCGAGUCGAUCGCUUCCAUGCUCCGAUGAUCUCUCUCACAGAAUCAAGGUUAAUCGUGUGGCCAACAAUCAGGGCCGCCGACCCACUGAACUGAAUAGUCGAAGCGCCAUGACUCACCCCUAGUCAUCAUUUGCUGCCAACAACUGUCUACUUCAUUGGAAUCUCAGUUUGAAGCCACGGUUAAAAAAAACUUUUGGAGCCCAAUCCAAUCACCCCUCCGCGAACGACCAACACCAUUGAACUUGCCUUGUUGAGCUUUACAAGUUUUAGUCCUUGGAUGGCCGAAAUAAUUAUUCCAUUGAUUUGGCUUGUCAUUCCAUUAAUCGGGUAUUUCUAGUUAGCAGGUGUUUCCUUCAUAGAUCAUUGUCAACCUAAUGUUUGUGCUUGUUUCAGCUCUAUGAGCUUUCUCGAGUGAUGAUAGACAAUGAAAUAAAUUGCCUAUUUGAUCUUGUUGCUUGUUUUGUUCUAAUACGUAUGUAAUUUAUGUUUAAUAUUUUUUAUCUGUCACAAACUUAAAAAGAGAUAUCUGAUUACAUA
Tripterygium wilfordii is the source of this 770-nucleotide long non-coding RNA. RefSeq lists it as uncharacterized. NCBI's taxonomy places the organism in Eukaryota, Viridiplantae, Streptophyta, Magnoliopsida, Celastrales, Celastraceae. The record is from RefSeq and is a predicted model, not a curated record. The transcript has 3 exons.